CCCCCACCCGCCCCCCAAGAGCUUCAGAGGCCCUAUAGGUGACUGAGAACAUGCUCAGGUGGGGGCCCAUCAGGCUUGAUUUGCACCUGGUUGAAGCUCUUGCAAUUGUAGCCCACCCACCCCAUCCCACGCUAACCACCAUCUCAGGCAGGACGAUCAUGACCCACACAUGCAUCUUUACCAUCUCAGGCUUUCCGUGGGCGGCGCCUGGGUUUCAGCCUCACGCAGCCGCGUUGGCCCAGAGCAGGCUUCUUGCAAAGGUCUCUUCCGCCCGCCGCGCUGUCCCCGCUGCUUGCGCUGCUGGUGGGAUGUUUUCAAGCGGGUGAUCGAAGUCCACGUCAAGGACCCCCCGACACCCUAUCUGCUUACAAAUAAUGCCCAUUUAAGAAAGAAACAGCUACCAAGUGGGGCAAGCAACUUGGCUGUAUUCCAAGCCCUGGUUCCACCUGUUCCAAGCUCCUCAGGCUUCUACCUGUACUUUCUUGUCUGGGUAAGUUGAUAUGGGUUCAGUUUCUGUCACUUGCAACUCAGAGUCCUAACAUACACAGGUGCCCGGAAGUUUUGCUCAUUGUUUUCAGGGUAUUUGUGGACUUCCUGGGGAAAUCCAUCUUUGAAACUUUAUCCAUGGUCCUCAAAUAUGGGACCUCUGUUUAAAGCUAUCCUUCCGUCUGUGAACGUGAACCGCUACCCAGGAAAACACUGUCAUAAACUGUUUCACCUGAUAGCUUUUGUGUAUUUAAUUGAUCACAUUCAACUCAUAGCUACAAUUCAACUCUAAUAACCACAACAUUUUCAUUUUCAUAAACACUUUCAUCCUUGUUUUAUACCUAACAACACUGGGGCUGGAAAGGGUAAAUAACAUUUUCUAAAGUGGUACAGUUAAACUAAACCUAGUGUUUUGUCUCAAAUCUGAAGUUCUUUCUCCUAUACUGAAGUUUAUUGUUGACUUUGACUUUAAAUCUUUUAAGUUACAACUUUGAAAUUUGUCUUUAAAAAAUAUAAUUGACACAAGAAAGUAG
Long non-coding RNA from Bos indicus x Bos taurus (hybrid cattle), 1019 nucleotides. The record is from Ensembl. Lineage: Eukaryota; Metazoa; Chordata; Mammalia; Artiodactyla; Bovidae.